ACGCUGGCGGCAGGCCUAACACAUGCAAGUCGAGCGGAAACGACACUAACAAUCCUUCGGGUGCGUUAAUGGGCGUCGAGCGGCGGACGGGUGAGUAAUGCCUAGGAAAUUGCCUUGAUGUGGGGGAUAACCAUUGGAAACGAUGGCUAAUACCGCAUGAUGCCUACGGGCCAAAGAGGGGGACCUUCGGGCCUCUCGCGUCAAGAUAUGCCUAGGUGGGAUUAGCUAGUUGGUGAGGUAAUGGCUCACCAAGGCGACGAUCCCUAGCUGGUCUGAGAGGAUGAUCAGCCACACUGGAACUGAGACACGGUCCAGACUCCUACGGGAGGCAGCAGUGGGGAAUAUUGCACAAUGGGCGCAAGCCUGAUGCAGCCAUGCCGCGUGUAUGAAGAAGGCCUUCGGGUUGUAAAGUACUUUCAGUUGUGAGGAAGGGUGUGUAGUUAAUAGCUGCACAUCUUGACGUUAGCAACAGAAGAAGCACCGGCUAACUCCGUGCCAGCAGCCGCGGUAAUACGGAGGGUGCGAGCGUUAAUCGGAAUUACUGGGCGUAAAGCGCAUGCAGGUGGUUCAUUAAGUCAGAUGUGAAAGCCCGGGGCUCAACCUCGGAACUGCAUUUGAAACUGGUGAACUAGAGUACUGUAGAGGGGGGUAGAAUUUCAGGUGUAGCGGUGAAAUGCGUAGAGAUCUGAAGGAAUACCAGUGGCGAAGGCGGCCCCCUGGACA
RNAcentral lists this ribosomal RNA (723 nucleotides) under Vibrio sp. 14D07. RNAcentral's name for it is "bacterial SSU rRNA". It matches the Rfam family "Bacterial small subunit ribosomal RNA", at positions 33 to 735 of the family's 1533-position model. Lineage: Bacteria; Pseudomonadati; Pseudomonadota; Gammaproteobacteria; Vibrionales; Vibrionaceae. The record is from RNAcentral.